AUACGGAGGGUGCGAGCGUUAAUCGGAAUUACUGGGCGUAAAGGGUGCGUAGGCGGCUUGAUAAGUCGGAUGUGAAAGCCCCGGGCUUAACCUGGGAAUUGCAUUCGAUACUGUCAGGCUAGAGUAUGUCAGAGGUUGGCGGAAUUCCUGGUGUAGCGGUGAAAUGCGUAGAUAUCAGGAGGAACACCAGUGGCGAAGGCGGCUAACUGGGGCAAUACUGACGCUGAGGCACGAAAGCGUGGGGAGCAAACAGGAUUAGAUACCCUUGUAGUCC
RNAcentral lists this ribosomal RNA (274 nucleotides) under uncultured bacterium. Its description in RNAcentral is "partial 16S ribosomal RNA". It matches the Rfam family "Bacterial small subunit ribosomal RNA", at positions 523 to 796 of the family's 1533-position model. The record is from RNAcentral.